UUGAAUUUCCUCUUGCCUCCAUUUUAGUCCCUAAAAGAUAAAAGACCACAAAAUAAUCCAAAUUAGUAGGAUCAUACUCAAAAUAAUCAUGCAAUUAGCACAUAAAAUAUGUCGUUCUAGAGUAUUAUCAGCACAUAUGACUCCCAAGAUCGACAUACCCUAUUAAGCAUCAAAAUAUGAAUUUAAAAGGACCAGGAGUAUAUAAUUCACAAUUAAUGUCAUAUAAUCACCUAAAAAUGCACUAAGAAUGAGGCUAAAAUAUGUUACUUUUGACACUUAUCAAAUUCUAUAUUAUGUCUAGAUUUAGAGGCAAAUUCAAAUAAUUUUUGAGGACCGAAAUUGGAUUAUAAACUUUUGAGAAGUUAAAAUAUAUAAUUUUAUCAUAUAUCAUACUUUUAAAUUUCAUAAAUUUUAGGAGAUUAAUCAAAUAUUUUUUAUUUGUAAGGUCAAAGUAUCAUUCCAUUAUAUAUUAAAAUAUAAUUUUAUAUUUUAAAAAGAUUGAAUCGCAGUUCUUCCUAUAUUAUAUAGCAUGUACAUAUCUAUAAAGAAUUUAAACAAUAUGCCCAUCUAUCUUAAUUAUGACGUGAAUUAUUCUUUAAAAAGAUUGGUUAGUUUUAAAAAGAUGAUUUUUUCUUCCCUUUAGUGACAAAACAACAUCAUUAUCAUGUAACGUGAAACUAAGGAUCAAUUUUGCUUGUAGAAUAGUAAAGUGAAGUGGAUUUAUCUUUCCAUUUUUCCAUGGAAAAUACAAACUCAAGAUUUCUAAACAAAUAUUAGCUAGGCUAAUUACUUAAAUAUUCUUACAUUUUCUCAUAUUAGUAUUGCAUUGCACUUAAUGUUUGGUGAGAAGAAUAUUCUAGGGAUAAUGGUGUAAAUAUCAGGGGUUUAUCUAUACAAAUAUAGAUUAAAAUUUGGUGAUUUUUUGGCUUAGUAUUUCGUCUUUUAUGUUUUAAUUUUGGGUGGUUUGUUUGUAUUCAACGUGUCUCUUGCUUGGGGUUUUUGCUCCUUGUUGGUGUGGCUUUUAUUUGGUCUGUUAUUGUAGGAUGAUUUGUGUUGGUUGAGGUUAUCCUAUGAUACGGAUUAAGGUGCUUGUAGGAGUAUUGGGUUUUGUGAUUGGGGGUUGUUAUGGGAUCGUGUGUAGGUGCUCCUUGUUAGACGCUUCUUUGUAUUUAGGCAAUGCUGCUUAUAUUUAGCAAUAUAAUAAUUAUGUUAAUUCAACCUUAGUUCAAUUGAUACCUCUAAUAUUAUAAUAAUUAAAAAUAUGUAAGUUUGAAUGUACUUGAAUAUGUUUUUCUUUCGAUUUAAAAAUUAUAAUAAAAUUAAUAUAAUAACUACCCUCAACGAAGAAGUAACAUUUUGCAUCUAUUCAAUAAUUGGGUACAUGUAUGCCCCAAGUUAAAUGGGUCCAAUAAUUUGCCUACAUGUGCGACCCAAGUUAAUUGGGUCAAAAAAAAAAGUAAUAAGGGAAGACUGGAAAUCACCAUUGCUAUUCGGUUCCCUAUACUUUAUAGUCUUACUCUUACAUUUAGCCACAAAUUUUGUUGACAAAAUUAGCAAUAUGAAUGGACUUUUCCUAUCAUUGUCAUUUUGUAGUCCUACACAUCCACAUCUUUCAUGACAAAAUUUUCCCAUUCAAUCCCUUUUGGGAAGAGGUGGAGAUUUUAAUUUAAUUUGUUUUACUUCAAUAUUUUCCAAAUUAAGUUUCAACAUGGAUUGAUUUGAAACAUCAACCAUUCAAGAAAUAUGGAUUUGCAUGUAUGCAUCCAGAAAACGAAAUUUGAUUCCAACUAAGCUAUUACUAUUCUUGUUGAAUACUAAAAACAUUACAAUUAUAGGAUUAGUAAUAAAAUAUAAAACAUCUACUAUAGCUUCCAGUUUACUCUUAAAUGAAGAAAAAGCCAUGCCUUUUAUUUAAUUUUUUUUUUCUAAUGCCACCAUGCAAACUUUCUACUUGUAAUGUCCUAAAAUUUUAGUUUUUAAAUUGUUAAAAUUUGUUAAAAUGAAUUGAUUUGGUUUAGUGGUUAAAUAUUAUAUUUGUGUGUAAGAGAUUUUGUGUUCAAAUCUUUUUCUUUUAAAUUUUGUUAUUUUUUGCCCAAUCUUUAAUUUUAGAUAUUAGAAUUAUAUAUUAUUUUCACUUAACUAAUGAUAGAAUGAGCCUGUUGGUUUAAUGAUAAAGUUUUACCUUAUCUAGAGAUUUUACGUUUGAAUCCUAAUGUGUGCAAAAUAGAAUUAUUUUUGUUAUUUUUAGUCAGUGCUGCCCAUGUGGCCAUGUGGUGGAAGUUGGGUGGAAUUCAACUUCUAAGGGAGAAAUUUGAUAGCGUUAAUGUAUCUGAUUUAGUGGGGAAAGUAGAUGGUUUUUAAUUUUUUUUUUUUUAAAUUCCUAAAUUUUUUUCCCCCAAAAUUCUCAUUCUACCGUCCACUAUUCCCCUCUUCUCAUGUCUAUUUUCUUUUCUUUUCUUUCUCAUUUUUCUCUCACGUUGUUUUUCUUUUUCCCUUGCCUUCCUCCUUUUGUUUUGCUACAGUAAAGAGAAGAAACUAACCUUUUGUUGAUUAUUCCUUGCUCUUCCUCAAGAUUUUUCUUAUUCGUCUAUGUUCCUUUGAUUCUUCAUUGAUACUUUUAUUCUGUGGUGUUGUUCGUAACUUUUAUUGUGGUGUCAUUGGUGCAUUUUGUGGAGGUUCGAUAAGGUUUCGUUUCGUUGUGGUAAAUCACUGAUUGUGUUUAGGAAGUAAUUUUUGGGUUGACUGUUUUGGAACUGUUGGGAGAAUAUCGUGAAAUGAGCAUUUUGCCGUCGAAAAACUAAGGGUUUUGGAACUGCAGUUAUUGUUUGGGUAUGUAAAGGAAUGCCAAGGGGCUGAUUAUUUUCGGCUUGUUAAGGCUUUGUGUUAACUAUUGUGACCAUAUUGGGGUUUUAGAGUUUAGUUAUUCGUUUCUAAAAUUAUUCGUUUUCAAUUUAGGUACUAGAAUACUCACUGUAGUGUUAGCAUCAAAAACUGACUAGGUAUGUAAUGAAAAACCCGAAAAAACAGCCAAAAACAUGACGUAGAAAAGUGGAAUGUCGAUGUCACAUGACAGUGUGCCAAUCUGUGUGAGCCAUACAACUGUGUGACAAGCUGUGUGCCAAAUCGUGUGGAUCACAUGAGUUGGGUCAAUUAGGCUGUAUGGGUCACACGGGCAUGUGAGCCCAUUUUCUGAAAAAUUUACCUAUGGUCUUAUUGGUGUGUGAUUCGUAUUUAGUCACUCUAUAGGAUCUUCAUUGUAUAAAUAAGACUUGAAAACAUGAAAUAUGAUAUUAUGCUACUGUAUGUAAUGUGGAUAAUGUAUGUGAAAUAUGUAUAUGAUCUGUCAUCAGAUAAUUCUGUUAACAUGUUUUGACGGGGAAAACAUGUAUGAUAUAUAUG
RNAcentral lists this long non-coding RNA (3399 nucleotides) under Gossypium barbadense (sea-island cotton). Its description in RNAcentral is "long non-coding RNA (GBAR_LNC007922)". Lineage: Eukaryota; Viridiplantae; Streptophyta; Magnoliopsida; Malvales; Malvaceae. The record is from RNAcentral.